GCACGAAAGGCGUAACGAUUUGGGCACUGUCUCAACGAGAGACUCGGUGAAAUCAUAGUACCUGUGAAGAUGCAGGUUACCCGCGACAGGACGGAAAGACCCCGUGGAGCUUUACUGUAGCCUGAUAUUGAAAUUCGGCACAGCUUGUACAGGAUAGGUAGGAGCCAUUGAAACGUGAGCGCUAGCUUACGUGGAGGCGUUGGUGGGAUACUACCCUAGCUGUGUUGGCUUUCUAACCCGCACCACUUAUCGUGGUGGGAGACAGUGUCAGGCGGGCAGUUUGACUGGGGCGGUCGCCUCCUAAAAGGUAACGGAGGCGCUCAAAGGUUCCCUCAGAAUGGUUGGAAAUCAUUCACAGAGUGUAAAGGCAUAAGGGAGCUUGACUGCGAGACCUACAAGUCGAGCAGGGUCGAAAGACGGACUUAGUGAUCCGGUGGUUCCGCAUGGAAGGGCCAUCGCUCAACGG
Molecule: ribosomal RNA, 466 nt
Filed under: Escherichia coli
Lineage: Bacteria; Pseudomonadati; Pseudomonadota; Gammaproteobacteria; Enterobacterales; Enterobacteriaceae
Description: partial 23S ribosomal RNA
Rfam family: Bacterial large subunit ribosomal RNA
Source: RNAcentral